UAAUCUCACUACGAUCGACUUUAUGUCUUUCGGUAUGUGGACUUGGAUGUUGCCGUGAACAAACGAACGGCUCGUCUGAAAUGCCUGAGUGUACCCCGCUUUGCGGCGUAUUCGGUGUGAUACAUCUUCACCGGAGUUGAUCCCUUUGUCGGGGUCGCGUCUGUAAUGGUGUGGCUCUAUGCUUCGAACCGUCUUCUUAUCGAGACAAACCUCUGACA
This 218-nucleotide unclassified non-coding RNA is filed under the name uncultured Serendipitaceae. Its description in RNAcentral is "sequence contains ITS2". Lineage: Eukaryota; Fungi; Basidiomycota; Agaricomycetes; Sebacinales; Serendipitaceae. The record is from RNAcentral.